UACAGAGGUCCCAAGCGUUGUUCGGAUUCAUUGGGCGUAAAGGGUGCGUAGGUGGCGUCGUAAGUCAGAUGUGAAAUCUCGGGGCUUAACUCCGAAACUGCAUUUGAUACUGCGGUGCUUGAGGACUGGAGAGGAGACUGGAAUUUACGGUGUAACAGUGAAAUGCGUAGAGAUCGUAAGGAAGACCAGUGGCGAAGGCGGGUCUCUGGACAGUUCCUGACGCUGAGGCGCGAGAGCAAGGGGAGCAAACAGG
Molecule: ribosomal RNA, 253 nt
Filed under: uncultured bacterium
Lineage: Bacteria
Description: partial 16S ribosomal RNA
Rfam family: Bacterial small subunit ribosomal RNA
Source: RNAcentral